AAAUGCCAAACGAGUGGCAUGUAUGUACAGUCGAGCUUUGGGGUAGUCUGCGCUACAGCAGGAAGACAGAGAGGAGGAGCUUUGGCCUUAAAUGGCUCCAGCUGUUUGCGCGAGCAAGGAAGCAUAGGGACGAACAGAAGACAGCCGCGAGGAGGAGAGAGAGCGGCGGAGGAGCGGGGUGCGAAAAGCUGCAUAUGGAGACAAGAUUGGAAGGGCUGGCGUACGACUGAGUGGCGUUGGCGUUACCAGUCCGGCCCGUAUAAGUAGGAGCGACGGCGAGCCGGAGGUCACACAGCCGAGCACCAAGAUCUCUCUUCCUUCCUCCUCCUCCUCCUCCAAUCCCCCUCUCCGGCCAGCGCGAGCGAGCGAGCUUGAGAGAGGUUGGUACCUGCAGGUAGCCAUGGACGGCCACCGCCACGGGCCGCGCAAGAUUCUGGCGCUCGAGGCGGCGUUCAAGAAAUGGGCCCACCCCGACGUCGCUAAUCUCAGCCGCGAAACCGGCAUGGAGCCCCAGCAGAUCGUAUACUGGUUCCAGACCCGGCGGGCGCACAUCAAGGGAUCUUCAUCGAACACAAGGCCUCCGACCCAGGGAUCUUCAUCGUCAGAUCCUUGAUGCUUUCAUUCCACAACUUCGCCUUCAUGCUGUGACACAGGGAGGCUGAUGGUGGCUGAUGUCCGUCACUAUCGUGGUCUUCCUCAGCUUAGUGUUUAUGUGUGUGUUUCGGCUUGUUAGCCAAGGACCCCCUUCGGGUUUGUAUCGCGCGUGUGUGUGUGUCGGCUCUUGAGCCCACCUGGACCCUAAUGGGUUUGCAUCGUGUUUGUGUUUGUGCGCGCGCACGUGCGUCGGCUCUUGAGCCUUGGACCCUAGAUGGGUUUGUAUCAUGUUUGUGUUGUAUUUCUGUUGCAUUUGAAUUUUAAACCCUGCCACAUUACCCUGAA
Molecule: long non-coding RNA, 939 nt
Organism: Triticum aestivum (bread wheat)
Lineage: Eukaryota; Viridiplantae; Streptophyta; Magnoliopsida; Poales; Poaceae
Exons: 3
Source: RefSeq, a predicted model, not a curated record